This 253-nucleotide ribosomal RNA is filed under the name uncultured bacterium. RNAcentral's name for it is "partial 16S ribosomal RNA". It matches the Rfam family "Bacterial small subunit ribosomal RNA", at positions 524 to 776 of the family's 1533-position model. The record is from RNAcentral.
UACGAAGGGGGCUAGCGUUGCUCGGAAUGACUGGGCGUAAAGGGCGCGUAGGCGGGCUCACAAGUCAGGGGUGAAAGCCCACGGCUCAACCGUGGAAGGGCCUUUGAUACUGUGGGCCUCGAGGGGGGUAGGGGCGUGCGGAACUUCCGGUGGAGCGGUGAAAUGCGUAGAUAUCGGAAGGAACAUCGGUGGCGAAAGCGGCGCGCUGGACCCCUUCUGACGCUGAGGCGCGAAAGCCAGGGGAGCAAACGGG